Molecule: ribosomal RNA, 499 nt
Filed under: Paenibacillaceae bacterium CL7.12
Lineage: Bacteria; Bacillati; Bacillota; Bacilli; Caryophanales; Paenibacillaceae
Description: bacterial SSU rRNA
Rfam family: Bacterial small subunit ribosomal RNA
Source: RNAcentral
CCCUGGCUCAGGACGAACGCGGGCGGCGUGCCUAAUACAUGCAAGUCGAGCGGAGUUGAUGAGAUGCUUGCAUCUUUGAUACUUAGCGGCGGACGGGUGAGUAACACGUGGGUAACCUGCCUUUAAGACUGGGAUAACAUUCGGAAACGGAUGCUAAUACCGGAUAGGCGAUUUGGUCGCAUGAUCGAAUCGAGAAAGAUGGAGCAAUCUAUCACUUAGAGAUGGACCCGCGGCGCAUUAGCUAGUUGGUGAGGUAACGGCUCACCAAGGCGACGAUGCGUAGCCGACCUGAGAGGGUGAUCGGCCACACUGGGACUGAGACACGGCCCAGACUCCUACGGGAGGCAGCAGUAGGGAAUCUUCCGCAAUGGACGAAAGUCUGACGGAGCAACGCCGCGUGAGUGAUGAAGGUUUUCGGAUCGUAAAGCUCUGUUGCCAGGGAAGAACGCUUGGGAUAGUAACUGCUCCCAAGGUGACGGUACCUGAGAAGAAAGCCCCG